This 118-nucleotide ribosomal RNA is filed under the name Jaculus jaculus (lesser Egyptian jerboa). The record is from RNAcentral. Lineage: Eukaryota; Metazoa; Chordata; Mammalia; Rodentia; Dipodidae.
GUCUAGGGCCCAUACCUCCCUGAACAUACCUGUUCUCAUCUGAUCUCAGAAGCUAAGCCGGGUCAGGCCCAAAGUACUUGGAUGGGAGACCACUUGGGAAUACUGAGUGCUAUAAGCU